GUGAACGUACAGUUAGGGAGCAUAAGAGUCUUCUUUCGCAAGCUUUAAGAAUCUUACUGACCUCAAACAUUUGACCUUUUGUAGUGUAAGUUGUUCCCUUUUAAAGUUGCCUUUAAAGCCUAGAUACAUUUGAUUUGUUGGAUUAUGUAAAAACUGGUCAUUCAAAAUGCCUCUAGUCGAUCCUAAUUUACUGCACUCUGGAUUCAAGCAAAGCCAUAUACAGGAAGCCUGAGAAAUCCUUAUAAGCAAUUUGGUGGCCUUUUGAGACUGCCAUGAUAUGACUGAGUGUUUACUAUGUUGUGUUUAUGUGAGUUACUGUGUGAAGAAGCACCUUCACCCUGACUGGGAUAAUUUUAUAUAGUUCUCUGGGUUAUUCGGGGGGUGGGGGUAUGUGAAAAAAAACGGAUUGGCAACGUGUUUUUUUGGUGGGGGUGAAGGUUUGUUCAGCAUGCCUGUGUUGUGAGAUUUUGGAGGGACUGUUAAGCAGACUUUGAAAAGCAAAGAUUAGUAUAUUAUAAAUUCACUUCCAAUUCUUAAAAUUAUCUGCCCUGAAAAAGAUGAAGAGAUGGAAUGGUCUCUCAAAUAUCCUUGAAGCAUUAGGCCAAUCCUUUACCAACAUCUAAUUGGAUCUUCGACAGAGGAGUACGAGAAGUUUGCAGGCCUUAUGGACCUUAUUUUAAUAUAGAUGUCCCUCAGCAAGUCUGUCCGCAGCUGAUUUACCUCAGUUUUGAAGCAGCAGGUCCCCUACAGAAGUGCUUUCUGAUCCGGUGAAGGUCAUGUGGCAUCUCCCAGAACAGCUCUGUGGCUCAGAUGUCUAGAGUCUGUUGAUCCAACCGAUUCUAAAUGCCUCAUCUUGUCAUUUACAUUUGUCUUUUUAGACCGAAAAUGUACACCUAGCAUUUUUUUAAAUUCAACCAAAAAGAGCUAUUUGUCUUUUGGGUAGGAGAGUAAAGAUGAGCUGUUGAAUUCUUUCUGAACUCAGUUUCCUCCUCUUACACUGUCUCUCUCUUGCAGUCCCCUGGUGCAGGUGAUGAUGUGCGCUUCAUGGAUGAUGCCUCCAGUAACCCAGGUGACUUCCUUGGAUAAAUGCUCUUCUAAUAUUGAUCCAGAAGUUCCCGUGGCCACCACAUCUGCUCUAGAGGAGAUGGCUCUCUACAGUAACAAGCGCAAACUACGACAGGGCCGCCGCAGCCUGGAGGCUCCUGUGCCCACGUAACCGUACACUCACACACUAAUGCAUCUGAACUGUGAAGAUAAAACACACAUAGUGAUCAUCUUAUACUAAAAGAUGUACACAGAUAUUAAACCACUCUUAUUUCAGUGCCGGCAACACAGGUUGGGAGGUGAGCUGAUGGGCUUCUCUUGUCUGGUCUUGCCUUUUCGGUUGAAAAGGAUUGCUAUGACAGGUCCAGGGGAUGGCUGAUUCUUUUACCCAUUGUACUCAAUUUUUCUGUCAGUCACCAUUUUAGAAGCAGAAUUGUUUUGAGAUGCGGUGGGGUUUUCUAAACACUUUGGAAAAAUUCUCUAGAAAAUGUUCUGGGUGAAAUGUGGAAAGGCAGAAAAGGGGAUUUUUAAAUGUAUCCGUGUUCAUGUUUUGCAGACAACACACUGCUACCUUCACUGCCCAUGUAAACCAGAAUUUCACUUUUUUUUUGUUUUAAUUCACUCUCAGAAAGAAAAGCUUUUAUUCCUUUUACAUGUAAUUUAUUAAUGUAAUAUACUGUUUUUAAUCUAUGGGAAUCCAGUACAAUAGAGGAACAAAUUGAGGCUUUUUGACAUGUGUAUAAGCUGAUUACUUGUUAUUUCGUGAUGAAUUUUGAGUUUUGGGAUUGGGAUACUUUUUCUUGCACGCAACAUUUUAAGAUUGUAAACGAGGCCUUGGCGUAAAGCUUUAUUUCCAUUUUAAAUCCAUAUCAGUUUUUUCAAAACAGAAUUCUCUUUUAAGAUGAUGCAAAUGAAUGUAAUAUUUUUGAAAGGUUGCAUCUGACCUAAUUCAAAGAUCUGUUCUAGACCUUUUCGGAAUGUGUAUGAUCAUGCCAUAUCAUAAAGACUGACCUACUAUAUUGAGUAGUGUCAUUCGAAACCUUUUGGUUAAUCUCUGGUCUUCCUUGACUGGACUAGGAGAGUAAAAUGAAGUGGAUAAUGUUUCCCUAAGACUUUUGUUUUUGUUCCUUUGGUGAUCUAAAUCACCUAAAAUGCGUUCUCCAUUUUUUUUUUUUUCUACUCCUUGUUCUGGGCCAUGUUGUAUAUCUAUAAAUUGAAUCAUUCCCUUUGCCACACUGAGUGACCAGAGUGGAGAAUUUCACACUGACAAACACUCAACUCUCCAUAAACAUUUGGUACCAUUUUGGGAGUGUGAGGAGACAAUUAAAUCAUCUGAGAACAAUUGGUCUCUAUUACUAUCUACAAAUCUUCCUCAUAUCUUUUCUUUCUCUUGCUCUGACAGGUGUGUGAAGGUAGUAGGCGUUUUCUAAUCUACAUUUUAAUUAGUUGAACUUAUAAAGCCACUAAAAAGCUAAUUUUGUGAAUAAUGUAUAAAUGCUUAAAAAAAGCAGCAAAAAUCAGAGUUGAAUCUGAGCCUUUCUGCCCCGAGACCAAACUAAAGUCUGGAGGGUGUAGAUGAUUCUACCAGGGUCUUGACUGACUGAGUCCCAGUGUGUAUAUUGGUUUGUUGCUUAUUGCAGUUUUAGUGUCAAUCCUGUGUGAGGACUAAGAUGAUAUACUUUUAUUAUUCCUUUAAAUAAACGUUUUAUUUCACUGUUCUCAAAUCAGUUGUUCACCACCCUGGCUGCCAUCAACACUGUGUCCCAAUGAACCUGUUAAACAUAUGAAAUAAUCUUUUUUUUUUUUUUUUUUUUUUUUACUAAUCUUAGCUUUCGUGUUGCUCUCAUUAACUGAAAUUCAGUUUUGGUUAAUAACAGUUUGGGAUUGCUCAUCAUUUUUUAUAUAGUUUGAGAAAAAAAGAGAAGUUGGUUUUCUGUAACCAAUGAAAUAUUGGGAUUCACUACAUUUUUACUUUUUCAGAGCAAAAGACUUUGAGCUCUUAUUGUUUUUCUGUCUUGGUGGGGAGGAUUUGUUUUUGUUUGUUUGUUUUUUUGCUAAAGGGGGUGGGACAAAAGGUCUGGGAAUAUAGCUCAUUCAGGACUGUAACUAGUGAAUUUGUACAACCAAAGAAGUCUAUUUUGUGGUUCAGGAAUAAUAAAGUUUACUUUUCAUUUAA
Non-coding RNA from Pimephales promelas (fathead minnow), 3220 nucleotides. Lineage: Eukaryota; Metazoa; Chordata; Actinopteri; Cypriniformes; Leuciscidae. The record is from RefSeq and is a predicted model, not a curated record.